This 71-nucleotide transfer RNA is filed under the name Rhodotorula diobovata. RNAcentral describes it as "Rhodosporidium diobovatum tRNA". It matches the Rfam family "tRNA". Rfam says of the family: Transfer RNA (tRNA) molecules are approximately 80 nucleotides in length. Their secondary structure includes four short double-helical elements and three loops (D, anti-codon, and T loops). Lineage: Eukaryota; Fungi; Basidiomycota; Microbotryomycetes; Sporidiobolales; Sporidiobolaceae. RNAcentral also lists the same sequence under 4 other names. The record is from Rfam by way of RNAcentral.
GGGAUCAUAGCUCAACGGUAGAGCAUACAGCCGAUAAUUGUAGUAUGGUGGUUCGAUUCCCCCUGGUCCUA